RNAcentral lists this ribosomal RNA (253 nucleotides) under uncultured bacterium. RNAcentral describes it as "partial 16S ribosomal RNA". It matches the Rfam family "Bacterial small subunit ribosomal RNA", at positions 524 to 776 of the family's 1533-position model. The record is from RNAcentral.
UACGAACCGUACAAACGUUAUUCGGAAUCACUGGGCUUAAAGGGUGCGUAGGCGGCCAUGUAAGUGGGGUGUGAAAUCCCUCGGCUCAACCGAGGAACUGCGCUCCAUACUGCAUGGCUUGAGGGAGACAGAGGUAAGCGGAACUGAUGGUGGAGCGGUGAAAUGCGUUGAUAUCAUCAGGAACACCGGUGGCGAAAGCGGCUUACUGGGUCUCUUCUGACGCUGAGGUACGAAAGCUAGGGGAGCGAACAGG